UGGUUAAGAUAAGUGUUUGCAGUCAUGCAGCCUGUUCUCUUCAGAUGGAGUUCAUUAGAAACCAGACAGGAGUCAUGGUGAUGUUUGACAGCACACAUGAACACACAGGUGAAGAGUCCAACUCCUCCCAGCAGGACUUCACUCUUGAUGUCCGUGGUGCAACAUGGUGAUACUGUAGCAGCUGAAAGAUCCCACAUAAGAUGAUGUUUUACUGUCUGACACCUGUUGGUUCCUCUUUGUAUCUUUGCAGUUUGUUUCUGAGAACUGAAGGAGAAGUGUUGGCUGAGAAUGUGGGUAACACCAGCAGCAGAGCUCUGCCGGUUUUCCCCUCUAAUGAGGACCAGAUAAGCAUCAGAAAUACACAGACUGUCCACACUUUAUGAGGACAGAGAGACA
Etheostoma spectabile (orangethroat darter) is the source of this 396-nucleotide long non-coding RNA. RefSeq lists it as uncharacterized. NCBI's taxonomy places the organism in Eukaryota, Metazoa, Chordata, Actinopteri, Perciformes, Percidae. The record is from RefSeq and is a predicted model, not a curated record. The transcript is spliced from 3 exons.